UGUGGAGCCGUAGCGAAAGCGAGUCUGAAUAGGGCGUUUAGUAUUUGGUCGUAGACCCGAAACCAGGUGAUCUACCCUUGGUCAGGUUGAAGUUCAGGUAACACUGAAUGGAGGACCGAACCGACUUACGUUGAAAAGUGAGCGGAUGAACUGAGGGUAGCGGAGAAAUUCCAAUCGAACCUGGAGAUAGCUGGUUCUCUCCGAAAUAGCUUUAGGGCUAGCCUCAAGUGAUGAUUAUUGGAGGUAGAGCACUGUUUGGACGAGGGGCCCCUCUCGGGUUACCGAAUUCAGACAAACUCCGAAUGCCAAUUAAUUUAACUUGGGAGUCAGAACAUGGGUGAUAAGGUCCGUGUUCGAAAGGGAAACAGCCCAGACCACCAGCUAAGGUCCCAAAAUAUAUGUUAAGUGGAAAAGGAUGUGGCGUUGCCCAGACAACUAGGAUGUUGGCUUAGAAGCAGCCAUCAUUUAAAGAGUGCGUAAUAGCUCACUAGUCGAGUGACACUGCGCCGAAAAUGUACCGGGGCUAAACAUAUUACCGAAGCUGUGGAUUGUCCUUUGGACAAUGGUAGGAGAGCGUUCUAAGGGCGUUGAAGCAUGAUCGUAAGGACAUGUGGAGCGCUUAGAAGUGAGAAUGCCGGUGUGAGUAGCGAAAGACGGGUGAGAAUCCCGUCCACCGAUUGACUAAGGUUUCCAGAGGAAGGCUCGUCCGCUCUGGGUUAGUCGGGUCCUAAGCUGAGGCCGACAGGCGUAGGCGAUGGAUAACAGGUUGAUAUUCCUGUACCACCUAUAAUCGUUUUAAUCGAUGGGGGGACGCAGUAGGAUAGGCGAAGCGUGCGAUUGGAUUGCACGUCUAAGCAGUAAGGCUGAGUAUUAGGCAAAUCCGGUACUCGUUAAGGCUGAGCUGUGAUGGGGAGAAGACAUUGAGUCUUCGAGUCGUUGAUUUCACACUGCCGAGAAAAGCCUCUAGAUAGAAAAUAGGUGCCCGUACCGCAAACCGACACAGGUAGUCAAGAUGAGAAUUCUAAGGUGAGCGAGCGAACUCUCGUUAAGGAACUCGGCAAAAUGACCCCGUAACUUCGGGAGAAGGGGUGCUCUUUAGGGUUAACGCCCAGAAGAGCCGCAGUGAAUAGGCCCAAGCGACUGUUUAUCAAAAACACAGGUCUCUGCUAAACCGUAAGGUGAUGUAUAGGGGCUGACGCCUGCCCGGUGCUGGAAGGUUAAGAGGAGUGGUUAGCUUCUGCGAAGCUACGAAUCGAAGCCCCAGUAAACGGCGGCCGUAACUAUAACGGUCCUAAGGUAGCGAAAUUCCUUGUCGGGUAAGUUCCGACCCGCACGAAAGGCGUAACGAUUUGGGCACUGUCUCAACGAGAGACUCGGUGAAAUCAUAGUACCUGUGAAGAUGCAGGUUACCCGCGACAGGACGGAAAGACCCCGUGGAGCUUUACUGUAGCCUGAUAUUGAAAUUCGGCACAGCUUGUACAGGAUAGGUAGGAGCCUUUGAAACGUGAGCGCUAGCUUACGUGGAGGCGCUGGUGGGAUACUACCCUAGCUGUGUUGGCUUUCUAACCCGCACCACUUAUCGUGGUGGGAGACAGUGUCAGGCGGGCAGUUUGACUGGGGCGGUCGCCUCCUAAAAGGUAACGGAGGCGCUCAAAGGUUCCCUCAGAAUGGUUGGAAAUCAUUCAUAGAGUGUAAAGGCAUAAGGGAGCUUGACUGCGAGACCUACAAGUCGAGCAGGGUCGAAAGACGGACUUAGUGAUCCGGUGGUUCCGCAUGGAAGGGCCAUCGCUCAACGGAUAAAAGCUACCCCGGGGAUAACAGGCUUAUCUCCCCCAAGAGUUCACAUCGACGGGGAGGUUUGGCACCUCGAUGUCGGCUCAUCGCAUCCUGGGGCUGUAGUCGGUCCCAAGGGUUGGGCUGUUCGCCCAUUAAAGCGGUACGCGAGCUGGGUUCAGAACGUCGUGAGACAGUUCGGUCCCUAUCCGUCGUGGGCGUAGGAAAUUUGAGAGGAGCUGUCCUUAGUACGAGAGGACCGGGAUGGACAUACCUCUGGUGUACCAGUUGUCGUGCCAACGGCAUAGCUGGGUAGCUAUGUGUGGACGGGAUAAGUGCUGAAAGCAUCUAAGCAUGAAGCCCCCCUCAAGAUGAGAUUUCCCAACUUCGGUUAUAAGAUCCCUCAAAGAUGAUGAGGUUAAUAGGUUCGAGGUGGAAGCAUGGUGACAUGUGGAGCUGACGAAUACUAAUCGAUCGAAGACUUAAUCAA
RNAcentral lists this ribosomal RNA (2263 nucleotides) under Staphylococcus aureus. RNAcentral's name for it is "partial 23S ribosomal RNA". It matches the Rfam family "Bacterial large subunit ribosomal RNA", at positions 659 to 2925 of the family's 2925-position model. The record is from RNAcentral. Lineage: Bacteria; Bacillati; Bacillota; Bacilli; Caryophanales; Staphylococcaceae.